RNAcentral lists this unclassified non-coding RNA (329 nucleotides) under soil metagenome. RNAcentral describes it as "partial contains 5.8S ribosomal RNA, internal transcribed spacer 2, and large subunit ribosomal RNA". The stretch from base 1 to 120 matches the Rfam family "5.8S ribosomal RNA", at positions 35 to 154 of the family's 154-position model. The record is from RNAcentral.
GAUGAAGAACGUAGCGAAAUGCGAUAAGUAGUGUGAAUUGCAGAAUUCAGUGAAUCAUCGAAUCUUUGAACGCACAUUGCGCCCCUUGGUAUCCCGAGGGGCAUGCCUGUUCGAGCGUCAUUUCACCACUCAAGCCUGGCUUGGUGUUGGGCGACGUCCUCUUUGGGGACGCGCCUCGAAACGCUCGGCGGCGUGGCACCGGCUUUAAGCGUAGCAGAAUCUUUCGCUUUGGAAGUCGGGGCCCCGUCUGCCGGAAGACCUGCUCGCAAGGUUGACCUCGGAUCAGGCAGGGAUACCCACUGAACUUAAGCAUAUCAAUAAGCGGAGGA